GACGAACGCUGGCGGCGUGCUUAACACAUGCAAGUCGAACGAGCGAAGAGGAGCUUGCUUCUCUGAGCGAGUGGCGAACGGGUGAGUAACGCGUGAGGAACCUGCCUCAAAGAGGGGGACAACAGUUGGAAACGACUGCUAAUACCGCAUAAGCCCACGGGUCGGCAUCGACCAGAGGGAAAAGGAGCAAUCCGCUUUGAGAUGGCCUCGCGUCCGAUUAGCUAGUUGGUGAGGUAACGGCCCACCAAGGCGACGAUCAGUAGCCGGCCUGAGAGGGUGAACGGCCACAUUGGGACUGAGACACGGCCCAAACUCCUACGGGAGGCAGCAGUGGGGAAUAUUGCACAAUGGGGGAAACCCUGAUGCAGCGACGCCGCGUGAGUGAAGAAGUAUUUCGGUAUGUAAAGCUCUAUCAGCAGGGAAGAAGAAAUGACGGUACCUGACUAAGAAGCCCCGACUAACUACGUG
Molecule: ribosomal RNA, 468 nt
Filed under: uncultured bacterium
Lineage: Bacteria
Description: bacterial SSU rRNA
Rfam family: Bacterial small subunit ribosomal RNA
Source: RNAcentral